RNAcentral lists this long non-coding RNA (3268 nucleotides) under Mus pahari (shrew mouse). Its description in RNAcentral is "lncRNA (MGP_PahariEiJ_G0005240.1)". Lineage: Eukaryota; Metazoa; Chordata; Mammalia; Rodentia; Muridae. The record is from RNAcentral.
ACAAAUAUUUAUUGAUUUAAUCUUCCUGACGACUCAGGAAGAUGGCAGCGAGCCUGUCUCUCUCGGGUGAAGAAAUCAGCUCUGUAUUGGAUAAGUUGCAUACCAUCCAAAUAAUCAAUCGGAACUAGCAUCAUCCCUUGAAUUGCCAGAUUUUCUGAUAUCUACUUAUCUGCCCCAUCCAUUUUAUCACCUGUAACUGUGGACAAGGCAGCAGUAUUCUUUCUGGUAUAAUGUGCUAUUUCUCUCUCAGCACAGCCCAAGUAUUAUUACCCAGAUGAAAACAACCUGAUAGGAUCCCAUCCUAUCCCAGAACUUGAGAGAAGCUUCAGGAGAGAAGAAGCCAUGUCUUAAGCUUCAUGAAAGCCCAGAGCACAGUCUGCGCAUGAAAGCAUAAACGGGUAGAGAUUUUAACUGACUAAAGCUCAAAAGAACUAUAACUUAAUAAAAUUACAUUACACACACACACACACACACACACACACACACCAUCCUUGAAUAGUCUAUUUAAAAUUGUAUGUGUUUUAAACAGAGGCUAUGACAAUAUAAGCUAUAUUUCAGGAUAACACUGAGUGUCCACACCGCACACUGGGCUAUCUCAAGGAUUUUACUCAUACUAGAUUAUCUCGGGAACAAGUCCACACAGGCACUGGCACGUCUCUCACUUUACAGAGGAAAAAAACUGACGGAAGUUAACUUUCCCUGGGGUAUAGCUGGUGAGUAGUGGGUAGUAGUUGGAGCUUGGUGACAUUCAGAGUACAUGUUUGUAACUGUUCUACUGACCCGUCCCCACGGACUGAAUAUCAGACAUUGCCCUCAAGCCUCACUGAAGUCUCACAAUGGCCCAGCAACAGACUUACACUCAUAGAAACUGGUGGUGGCCUGGCCAGUUGCAGUUCAAUAUUCUAGAGUAUAUAAAUCAACCCAACUGUAUUGCUGACAACUACCUUAUUCCAUGGACAACACUCAUCCUGUAACAAGUGAAAAAGUUGUUGAAAACAAAAAAUUGAAAAUUACGGUUACAUUUUGCUUUCGAUAAUUAAAACUUUGGCUUUACAGCCCAUUAACCUUGUCAUUGGCCACACUUUAUUUUCACCACAUACAAUCUCACAGCCUCGGUGCUAUUUUUCAUUGGUUGUCUUUAAGUCAUUUUAUGUCCAUCUAGCAUCCACUGAUAUUUCCAUUUUACAAAGAACUGUGAAGGGACAUUUCCAAGGUCUUGAAUUCUUAAUUAUUUUAUUACCCUCCUAAUCUAUGUUUUUCAUCGAAUUUGACCAUAAGUCCAAUAGCAUAGCUUCUGGCUCUAAGAUCAGAGCACAGUGGCCAUUCCAGGAUUCUGCUUAACUGGCUCUCACCUCUCCCUUAUUGCCUAACUGUCCCUCUUUGAUGACCGCCCCUCUUGUCAGCAUGUAUAAAAAGGUUCCUGUCUGUGCAUAAGUGUUUUCCGGCUUCCAGCUCUCCCACUGCCUAGCAUCUUAACCCUCCUAUGCAUAGCCAAUCAUUCAAAAUCCCAAUCUUCAGCAGGGCAUAAGGCAUGGCUGCUGUUCCACCAUAAUUCCAGUGCUUGGCAGAUCUUCCAUAAUACUUCUCUCAUUUAACAGUGAUGCUUUUAAAAGAAAGGCCACCAUGAAAAGUGACAAAUACUUUAGUGGGCUCAUUAUAAAACAGAGCAGCCAACAGUAAAAUAAGUGUGAAAAGGACUCAACUUCAUAAAGUACAAGACAAAUGAAAGUCUCAAAAGACCACACUUUAUAUAUGAUCAGUAGAUGGCCAGAGCGGGGCAACUGGAGCAUUGACAAAGGAGGUGAGCUGGCACUCCCCUUCUAAAAAGGCAAGUGGAAGGAAAUACUAGAAUUGAUACAGGCGUUCUUGAAGCAGUAACCCCACCCCUGGGCUAUACCCUACAGAUGUAAAUUAUGGUGUACACAGAAAUCCUGAUCAUUGUACUCUUAAAGAACCCAAAUUCAUGGACGGUAAAAUGUCUAAAGGAUAUUCGUACUAUGGAAUUCAGCGCUGUCAUGGAAGCAAAUGGCUGAAAAACACAGUAUGAAUUAAUCUCAUUAGCAUAUACUGGGUGAAAUAAGCCAGACACACACCAAAGCAGAACAUAUGAUGUCAUAGCUAUCAAUUACAGGAACAGACAGAACCAAGACAGGCAGUGUGAAAAGUCAGGAUGUAGCAACUCUUGGGUUCUACAGAGGCUAAACGGGGCAAGAGAGUGCCCUUAGAUUGCUGAGCACACUCUAGAUUUUGGUAGAGCUGAUGCUCAACUUGUAAAACAUUUUACAGCCCUUUCUGUCUGUUUUAUUAUAUACCACACACACACACACACACACACACAGUAUUAGCAGGACUCAGAGACCUCAGCUUACUUUGCCACAAACCUACCCUGAUCACCAGGCUUUGAAUGCACUUGUGUACACAUCUCUUCUGACAGAGGAGAUGUUGCCAUGGAGUCGAAGCGUCUGUAGCUUAGAGCAACAUCCCGCUGUUGUACAUCUACAGCAGAGGGAAGAUUCAGUGUGGUGAUGACUGCUCUUACAUCUCAGCUUUUCUCUUCACUUGAUGCUUCUUAACUUUGUGGUUCACCACCAUUAAAAGCACCCAGUGAGCCGAUUCUCGCUUUUCUAACAUUCAUACACCAAUACUUGAGCACCUAUGUGGUAUAGGAGCUUCCCUCAGCCCUGACCCUUCUAGUAGGUGCUCAUGAUGGAACAGUACCCAGGGAAGCUUGUGAGAAAUGAAAAUACAAAUAAAUCCGUAUUUAAUAAGUACAGUGAGAUACAUACCAAAUGCCUUGCAACUGGUAGGUGUGAACUCUGGCACAAUAAAUCUAAAUAUUAUUAUAUUGCGAUAAUGACUUUUCAAGUGUGUUUCAAGAAUCAAAAUCAUGUGCAGAAUACAUUUCCUAAUAUACGUAUAUGCCUCCAAGUUCCUUUUGGACCUUGUUUCAAAGCUCAGCUACUACCCUGCAGUUUGGACGCUAAGUAACAGAAUCUGAGAAAGACACAGAGUGAUCUCCCUGCACAAACAGUACCUCUAACCAUAGCUCCCUUUUAGGCACAGCAUCUGGACUUUUGCAAAAAGAAGCUCAAAGGAGUUAAGAAAAGUGAGAUUGGGUUUCCUACCUGGACACCUGCUCCUGGUCUUAGUCACGACUUCUCAUAACCUUGAGUCUCAAUUCUCAGGUGAAUUCCCCAAUCUGACAACGGGCCGCCGGCCGCGGCAGCCGCAGCGGUGGCCCGGCGGUGCGCGCCGGUGCACGUCCCUC